RNAcentral lists this ribosomal RNA (435 nucleotides) under uncultured Clostridium sp. RNAcentral's name for it is "partial 16S ribosomal RNA". It matches the Rfam family "Bacterial small subunit ribosomal RNA", at positions 341 to 792 of the family's 1533-position model. Lineage: Bacteria; Bacillati; Bacillota; Clostridia; Eubacteriales; Clostridiaceae. The record is from RNAcentral.
ACGGGAGGCAGCAGUGGGGAAUAUUGGGCAAUGGGGGAAACCCUGACCCAGCAACGCCGCGUGAAGGAAGAAGGCCUUCGGGUUGUAAACUUCUUUUACCAGGGACGAAUUUUGACGGUACCUGGAGAAAAAGCAACGGCUAACUACGUGCCAGCAGCCGCGGUAAUACGUAGGGGGCAAGCGUUAUCCGGAUUUACUGGGUGUAAAGGGAGCGUAGACGGUUUGGCAAGUCUGAAGUGAAAUGCGGGGGCUCAACUCCUGAACUGCUUUGGAAACUGUCGAACUAGAGUGCAGGAGAGGUAAGUGGAAUUCCUAGUGUAGCGGUGAAAUGCGUAGAUAUUAGGAGGAACACCAGUGGCGAAGGCGGCUUACUGGACUGUAACUGACGUUGAGGCUCGAAAGCGUGGGGAGCAAACAGGAUUAGAUACCCUGGUA